RNAcentral lists this long non-coding RNA (344 nucleotides) under Rattus norvegicus (Norway rat). Its description in RNAcentral is "long non-coding RNA NONRATT003469". The record is from RNAcentral. Lineage: Eukaryota; Metazoa; Chordata; Mammalia; Rodentia; Muridae.
GGUAACAUCCCGUGAGGUCGGCAACGCGGUGGUGGUUUCUGUAACUUGAGGAUGGUAACUUGUUUAUUUUGCCUUGGUAUGGGGGAGUUUGUAGGCUUCUGUCUGUGAAGAGAGUCAUCUGGGGCUGUAGGCCGCUGCGGGUGUUGGAGGUUUUUCUUUUUCAGGGUUGUGUCCUCUUGCAUCUUGUCUGAAGCUUUUGAGGGCAGACUGCCAAGGCCCAGAAGAAUGGUAGAUGGCAAGUUGUCUUAACCCGAUCUGAGGGAAAAUGAAUGGUAGAGCCAACAGUCUCGCCAGUUUUGUCUGUCUAGAAUCCUAAAGGCAGAUGACUCAAGGGAACCAGGAAA